GUGCUCGCUUCAGCAGCACAUACACUACAAUUGGAAUGAUACAGAUAUUAGCACGGCCCCUGCGCAAGGAUGACACGCCAAUUUGUGAAGCAUUCCAUAGUUAU
Molecule: small nuclear RNA, 104 nt
Organism: Saimiri boliviensis boliviensis (Bolivian squirrel monkey)
Lineage: Eukaryota; Metazoa; Chordata; Mammalia; Primates; Cebidae
Source: RefSeq, a predicted model, not a curated record